Molecule: long non-coding RNA, 965 nt
Filed under: Homo sapiens (human)
Lineage: Eukaryota; Metazoa; Chordata; Mammalia; Primates; Hominidae
Description: HSALNT0362537
Source: RNAcentral
UGGAGCAACUGGCUUCACCUCUCUGAGCCUUUAUUUCCCACAUCUGCAAAGUGGUGCACAGUAAUACCCACGUUCCUGGCUCUGUGUAAGGAGCCAUGAGAGUGUAUUUAAAGGGCCCAGCACCCAGCUGCUCUCAGUAGAUGCUCAAGAGACAGUAACAACCCUAUCGUUAUAUGAGGUUCAAUGCAACUCAUCUGAUUCCCCUUCCAGUGGCUGGAGAACAUCCCACCUUCUGAGCCUUGGGGAGAAGCAGAGUGUGCCCUUUCCCUGCCCACUGGAGAAGCUGAAACAACAAAAACUCCCUUCCCUGGCCUCCCUGCAGUAAGUCAAAGAUGGUGUCGAAAAUGGUGAAAUCAAGAACUAGUGCUUAGAAUUAUGGAGAUUUAAAAACAGAAGAGACACCUCCCAGAGUUGCAAGUGGUCGCCUGUCCCAGAGAGCUGGUGAGAUGAGGUGGGGAGGUGGCAGCUGAGUUUUAUGGUGAGAAAGUGGAGUUCGAAGAUGUCAUCAGCCCAGGUCACACAGAUGGUGGAGACCAGUGUGGAGCCCGGGAGUGGGCUGAGCAGAGCAUCUGGACUUUGAGCUUCCAUCAGACCCUGAGAUAGUCACCUGUCCUGGCUGCCUGGUGACCCUGGUGUGCUAACGUGGCACUUAUCUUGCUCUAUGGAGGCCCCUGGGCCCCCUAAACACCAGAACCCAGUUGCUGUGCUAAAAAGAACUCACAGACCACGUGGAGUGGAGCAGAUGGGUCAGUGUCCCAGGUGGCAGCCCGUGUCGGCCUCAGACCUGCACGUGAGGAUGCCCACCAGAGGGUUCCUGCCACCACCGUCAAGUCACCCCAGCCUUAAUCUUCCAGCCGGCGCCUCAGGCAUUAUGGGCAGAGGUAAACUGUCUCCAUGAUGCCCUUUCCAAAUUUCUGACCCACAGAAUCCAUGGCUAUAAUAAAAUGGCUGUCUUAUGUGCUCAA